Molecule: ribosomal RNA, 447 nt
Filed under: uncultured bacterium
Lineage: Bacteria
Description: bacterial SSU rRNA
Rfam family: Bacterial small subunit ribosomal RNA
Source: RNAcentral
AUGCCAGACUCCUACGGGAGGCAGCAGUGGGGAAUAUUGCACAAUGGGGGAAACCCUGAUACAGCGACGCCGCGUGAGUGAAGAAGUAUUUCGGUAUGUAAAGCUCUAUCAGCAGGGAAGAUAAUGACGGUACCUGAGUAAGAAGCCCCGGCUAACUACGUGCCAGCAGCCGCGGUAAUACGUAGGGGGCAAGCGUUAUCCGGAUUUACUGGGUGUAAAGGGAGCGUAGACGGCAUGGCAAGUCUGAAGUGAAAGCCCGGGGCUCAACCGCGGGACUGCUUUGGAAACUGUUAAGCUGGAGUGCAGGAGAGGUAAGUGGAAUUCCUAGUGUAGCGGCGAAGUGCGUAGAUAUUAGGAGGAACACCAGUGGCGAAGGCGGCUUACUGGACUGUAACUGACGUUGAGGCUCGAAAGCGUGGGGAGCAAACAGGAUUAGAUACCCUUGUA